RNAcentral lists this ribosomal RNA (468 nucleotides) under uncultured bacterium. RNAcentral's name for it is "partial 16S ribosomal RNA". It matches the Rfam family "Bacterial small subunit ribosomal RNA", at positions 28 to 507 of the family's 1533-position model. The record is from RNAcentral.
GACGAACGCUGGCGGCGUGCUUAACACAUGCAAGUCGAACGGAAAGGCCCUGCUUUUGUGGGGUGCUCGAGUGGCGAACGGGUGAGUAACACGUGAGUAACCUGCCCUUGACUUUGGGAUAACUUCAGGAAACUGGGGCUAAUACCGGAUAGGAGCUCCUGCUGCAUGGUGGGGGUUGGAAAGUUUCGGCGGUUGGGGAUGUACUCGCGGCUUAUCAGCUUGUUGGUGGGGUAGUGGCUUACCAAGGCUUGGACGGGUAGCCGGCCUGGGAGGGUGACCGGCCACAUGGGGCCUGAGAUACGGCCCAGACUCCAACGGGAGGCAGCGGUGGGGAAUAUUGCGCAAUGGGCGGAAGCCUGAUGCAGCAACGCCGCGUGCGGGAUGACGGCCUUCGGGUUGUAAACCGCUUUCGCCUGUGACGAGGCGUGAGUGACGGUAAUGGGUAAAGAAGCACCGGCUAACUACGUG